Molecule: ribosomal RNA, 1320 nt
Filed under: metagenome
Description: bacterial LSU rRNA
Rfam family: Bacterial large subunit ribosomal RNA
Source: RNAcentral
GCCGCUAAUCAAACUUGGAAAUAGCUGGUUCUCCCCGAAAUGUAUUGACGUACAGCGUCGUGCAGCACUGCUGGAGGUAGAGCACUGACAGGGCUAGGGGGCUUCACCGCCUACCAAACCCUAUCAAACUCCGAAUGCCAGCAAGUGACGCACGGCAGUGAGGCUGCGGGUGAUAAGAUUCGUAGCCGAGAGGGAAAAAGCCCAGACUACCGGCUAAGGUCCCCAAGUCCAUGCUAAGUGGUCGAGGAUGUAGGGCAACCCAGACAACCAGGAGGUUGGCUUAGAAGCAGCCAUCCUUUAAAGAAAGCGUAAUAGCUCACUGGUCGAGUUGCCCCGCGCCGUAAAUAUAACGGGGCUAAAGCAUGGCACCGAAGCCGUGGACUCAGAAAUGAGUGGUAGGGGAGCGUUCCCAUUGCAUCGAAGCAGGAGCGCGAGCGACUGUGGAGCGAUGGGAAGUGAGAAUGCUGGCGUGAGUAGCGAUAAGACGGGUGAAAAACCCGUCCGCCGGAAGCCCAAGGUUUCCUGUCCAAGGAUCAUCCGGGCAGGGUAAGUCGGCCCCUAAGGCGUAGCCGAAAGGCGGAGCUGAUGGGAAUCAGGUUAAUAUUCCUGAACCAUAGGCCAGGAGCAGUGCGGGGACGGAGAAAGGUAGGUCAGCCUGUCAUUGGAUUCAGGUUCAAGCCCGUAGACGGGUCGCGUAGGAACAAAACGCGCGAUCAACGUCGAGAGGUGAUGACGAAGGCCUUCGGGCCGAAGUGAUUGAUCCUAAGCUUCCAAGAAAAGCCGCGUUCUGCGUUGAAUGGUUUGUGACCGUACCGCAAUCCGACUCAGGUGGGCAGGUGGAGAACACCAAGGCGUUCGAGAGAACCCCGGUUAAGGAACUAGGCAAAUUGACACCGUAACUUCGGGAUAAGGUGUGCCAUCGCACCGUGAAGGGACUUGCUCCUGGAGCGGGGGGUGGUUGCAACAAAGCGGCGGUAGCGACUGUUUACUAAAAACACAGGGCUCUGCGAAACCGGAAGGUGACGUAUAGGGCCUGACGCCUGCCCGGUGCCGGAAGGUUAAGAGGAGUCGUCAGAGCAAUCGAAGCGACGAAUUGAAGCCCCGGUAAACGGCGGCCGUAACAAUAACGGUCCUAAGGUAGCGAAAUUCCUUGUCGGGUAAGUUCCGACCUGCACGAGGGCGUAACGACUUCCGCGCUGUCUCGACCGGGGACUCGGCGAAAUCGACAUGGGGGUGAAGAUGCCCUCUACCCGCGGCAAGACGGAAAGACCCUGUGAACCUUUACUGUAGCCUGGCAGUGGUAUUCGGUUCAUUCUGUCU